GACGAACGCUGGCGGCGUGCUUAACACAUGCAAGUCGAACGGAAAGGCCCUGCUUUUGUGGGGUGCUCGAGUGGCGAACGGGUGAGUAACACGUGAGUAACCUGCCCUUGACUUUGGGAUAACUUCAGGAAACUGGGGCUAAUACCGGAUAGGAGCUCCUGCUGCAUGGUGGGGGUUGGAAAGUUUCGGCGGUUGGGGAUGGACUCGCGGCUUAUCAGCUUGUUGGUGGGGUAGUGGCUUACCAAGGCUUUGACGGGUAGCCGGCCUGAGAGGGUGACCGGCCGCAUAGGGACUGAGGUACGGCCCAGACUGCUACGGGAGGCAGCAGUGGGGAAUAUUGCACAAGGGGCGGAAGCCUGAUGCAGCAAGGCCGCGGGCGGGAUGACGGCCUUCGGGUUGUAAACCGCUUGCGCCUGUGACGAAGCGUGAGUGACGGUAAUGGGUAAAGAAGCACCGGCUAACUACGUGC
RNAcentral lists this ribosomal RNA (469 nucleotides) under uncultured bacterium. RNAcentral describes it as "partial 16S ribosomal RNA". It matches the Rfam family "Bacterial small subunit ribosomal RNA", at positions 28 to 508 of the family's 1533-position model. The record is from RNAcentral.